RNAcentral lists this ribosomal RNA (440 nucleotides) under uncultured bacterium. RNAcentral describes it as "partial 16S ribosomal RNA". It matches the Rfam family "Bacterial small subunit ribosomal RNA", at positions 338 to 795 of the family's 1533-position model. The record is from RNAcentral.
CCUACGGGAGGCUGCAGUGGGGAAUAUUGCACAAUGGGGGAAACCCUGAUGCAGCGACGCCGCGUGAGCGAAGAAGUAUUUCGGUAUGUAAAGCUCUAUCAGCAGGGAAGAAAAUGACGGUACCUGAGUAAGAAGCUCCGGCUAAAUACGUGCCAGCAGCCGCGGUAAUACGUAUGGAGCAAGCGUUAUCCGGAUUUACUGGGCGGAAAGGGAGCGUAGGCGGCCUGCCAAGUCUGAUGUGAAAUACCGGGGCUCAACCCCGGGGCUGCAUUGGAAACUGGCAGGCUGGAGUGCCGGAGAGGUAGGCGGAAUUCCUAGUGUAGCGGUGAAAUGCGUAGAGAUCAUACAGAACACCGAUUGCGAAGGCAGCUUACCAAGCUACGUCUGACGUUGAGGCACGAAAGCGUGGGGAGCAAACAGGAUUAGAUACCCCAGUAGUC